ACGUGGGUAACCUACCUCAGAGACUGGGAUAACGGUUAGAAAUGAUCGCUAAUACCGGAUGAAUUCAUAGUUAGAUAACUAAUUAUGCUAAAGAAGCGUUUGCUUCGACUUUGAGAUGGGCUUGCGUUGUAUUAGUUAGUUGGUGGGGUAAUGGCCUACCAAGACAACGAUGCGAUAUCCGAGCUCGAGAGGCUGAUCGGACACACUGGGACUGAGACACGGCCCAGACUCCUACGGGAGACAGCAGUUAGGAAUAUUCGUCAAUGGGGGAAACCCUGAACGAGCAAUGCCGCGUGAGUGAAUGAAGGUCUUAUAGAUUGUAAAACUCUGUUGUAGAGAAAGAAACCUUAAGAUAGGAAAUGAUCUUAAGCUGACGGUACUCUACCAGAAAGCCCCGGCUAACUACGUGCCAGCAGCCGC
This 420-nucleotide ribosomal RNA is filed under the name uncultured bacterium. Its description in RNAcentral is "bacterial SSU rRNA". It matches the Rfam family "Bacterial small subunit ribosomal RNA", at positions 115 to 518 of the family's 1533-position model. The record is from RNAcentral.